GAUGAACGCUAGCGGGAGGCCUAAUACAUGCAAGUCGAACGGUAACAGGGGACUUCGGUCCUGCUGACGAGUGGCGCACGGGUGAGUAACGCGUACACGACUUACCUCUGACUGGGAGAUAGCCCUGGGAAACUGGGAGUAAUACCCCAUGGUCCUUGGAUUUUCGGAUUUAAAGUAAAGCUUUCGGGCGGUCAGAGAUGGGUGUGCGUCCCAUUAGCUAGUUGGUGAGGUAACGGCUCACCAAGGCUACGAUGGGUAGGGGCGUGAGAGCGUGGCCCCCCAACGGGUACUGAGACACGGACCCGACUCCUACGGGAGCAGCAGUAAGGAAUAUUGGACAAUGGCGCAAGCCUGAUCCAGCCAUCCCGGUGCA
RNAcentral lists this ribosomal RNA (373 nucleotides) under uncultured bacterium. RNAcentral's name for it is "bacterial SSU rRNA". It matches the Rfam family "Bacterial small subunit ribosomal RNA", at positions 28 to 405 of the family's 1533-position model. The record is from RNAcentral.